CCUACGGGUGUGCAGCAGUGAGGAAGAUUGGGCAAUGGACGAGAGGCUGAACCAGCCAAGGAGCGUGAAGGAUGAAUGCCCGAUGGGUUGGAAACUUCUUUUAGAGGGGAAGAAAACGUUCCACGUGUGGGAUUUUGGAUGUACCAUAUGAAGAAGGAGCGGCGAACUCCGGGCCAGCAGCCGCGGUAAUACGGAGGAUCCGAGCGUUAGCCGGAUUUCUUGGGUUUAACGGGAGCGUAGGUGGAUUGUGAAGUCAGUUGUGAAAGUUUGCGGCUCAACCGUAAAAUUGCAGUUGAAACUGGCAGUCUUGCGUACAGUAGAGGUGGGCGGAAUUCGUGGUGUAGCG
Molecule: ribosomal RNA, 346 nt
Filed under: uncultured bacterium
Lineage: Bacteria
Description: partial 16S ribosomal RNA
Rfam family: Bacterial small subunit ribosomal RNA
Source: RNAcentral